This 26-nucleotide non-coding RNA is filed under the name Mus musculus (house mouse). Lineage: Eukaryota; Metazoa; Chordata; Mammalia; Rodentia; Muridae. The record is from RNAcentral.
GAUGGGCUAAACGUUUACCGUGGUGU